This 492-nucleotide ribosomal RNA is filed under the name uncultured bacterium. RNAcentral describes it as "partial 16S ribosomal RNA". It matches the Rfam family "Bacterial small subunit ribosomal RNA", at positions 29 to 507 of the family's 1533-position model. The record is from RNAcentral.
AGUGAACGCUGGCGGUAGGCCUAACACAUGCAAGUCGAACGGCAGCACAGUAAGAGCUUGCUCUUACGGGUGGCGAGUGGCGGACGGGUGAGGAAUACAUCGGAAUCUACUUUUUCGUGGGGGAUAACGUAGGGAAACUUACGCUAAUACCGCAUACGACCUACGGGUGAAAGCAGGGGAUCUUCGGACCUUGCGCGAUUGAAUGAGCCGCUGUCGGAUUAGCUAGUUGGCGGGGUAAAGGCCCACCAAGGCGACGAUCCGUAGCUGGUCUGAGAGGAUGAUCAGCCACACGGGAACUGAGACACGGUCCAGACUCCUACGGGAGGCAGCAGUGGGGAAUAUUGGACAAUGGGCGCAAGCCUGAUCCAGCCAUACCGCGUGGGUGAAGAAGGCCUUCGGGUUGUAAAGCCCUUUUGUUGGGAAAGAAAAGCAGCAGGUUAAUACCCCGCUGUUCUGACGGUACCCAAAGAAUAAGCACCGGCUAACUUCGUG